UCUGAACAGUUACGGACGAGAGAAAAAAACGCAGCCGCCCGCACGGCCCAUCCUCCUGAUCCCAUCUCGACUCCUGCGCGCCGCCACCUCCUGCCCCGCCUCACCGCACGCCGCACACCGCCGCCCCCCAGCCCCUCGUCGCGGCUCUCCACCGGACUGCCCCCGUCGCCGCGCUCCGCCUGACCGCCCCCCGUCGCCGUGCGCCGCCACCGCCUACCGUCGCCGUGCUCCGCCACCGCCUACCCCGCCGGUGCGCCUACCCCCACUCAAGUGCCCCCACACCCGCGGCCUUCCACCGGCGACCCACGGCGGCCUUCCACCACUGGCAACUCUUGGCGUCAGGGGUUGGGGAGGUGGAUUCGGGGGCGCGCGACGCGGCGGGGGUCGCCGGUGACGACGAUGAAGGCAGGCAUAAUUUUUUCCCCGACCCUGCGAACCCUAGCAGCCGCACAAACGCCACCCCGCCGCCGGUCAUGGGGUCGUUUCCCCGCGCCUCCUCGCCUCCCUCUGCUCCAGGCCCCCUCUCUCGCGCUGCUAGGAGUAGUGGUCUCUAGCAGCUGCCCUCCCCUCAGUCAUCGCAUCAAUCUCCUGCUCCAUCUCUCUCCAACAUCCCCGCUCUCCUCUCGCAUCACACACAGGCGGUGGCUAUACAUAUCUGACCGGGUGUGGCGUGUGUGGCAUCUGUGACGUGCUUCGGCCCGCUGGUUGUCCCUAAUGUGUGCGGCUGUUGUGCGUCCCUGUUCAUGUGUGUGGCGCUUUACAUGCAAAGGAAGUGAAUGGUUGCAAGCAGAGGAAGCUGUUGGCCAUUGGCAAAGGAGGAUUAGGAUAGUUCUCUUGAUCUUGGUCAGAAAAAUUGAUAGUUCCCUUGAUUUGUUUUGUUCUGAAUUAGUACAAAAGUGCACUGAUAUUUGUUUUGUGCUGCGGGAGCUUCAAGACACCAGGUACCAAUUGCAACUUUCAUUUAUCUGUUGUGUGAACCAAUUUGUGAUGGCUUCUAAACGCACUUGGCUGGAACAGAGCAAUUUUCUGUAGUCUUCAGCGACGAUGUGGUGCUGCACUGCUGCUCUCUUGCUGCUAACUUGCUACUUCUAGCUGAAUUUUGCUAUUGCUGCUAGCUGAAUUUUGCAUAGGCAUGGCAGGCUGUUUGGUACAUAUACAAAUGAUGCUGUUAUUUUUGUUAUUGCUCACACCCGGCCGCCCGCGCUCACGGCCAGUGCUGCAGAUUUCGUGGCUGGCCAGCUUAUCCUCAAUGUGUUCUGACUCGGAGGUCGGAGUUGAAGCUGACAACGGACUCAAGAACUCCACCAUAUUCUUAGUAUUGCAUACCGUCACUGCUGAGGGGUUAGCCAAGCUGCUUUUAAAAGUCAUAUAACAAUUAAGUGCUAGAUAUUGUCACAGAUAGAUUUUGAUGGAUAGGAAUUUAAUAAGCUACAAAGCAGUGUAGGUCGAGAUGAACAGAGAAUGGUAUGCAUAAUGUGUAACAAUAUUUGAUACAGUUACAUUGACAGGUCUGGGCUCGUUGGAGGGAUUUUAUGCUUUUGAUUGAUUAAGCUUAACACUUCUGCUCACUCAUUAUUUACUCUGUAUUCAUCAAAAAAUAUUUAUUUUGUACUAUAUCAUAGCAUGUUCGACGGACAGAGGCAGAGACGUCCAUUGUUCUAGCUGAUAGCACUUGCUAACUUAAGAAGUCUACAUACCUUUUAUCUAACUAAAAGAGAGUUUCUUACCAACUAUUGAGCCUACAAGUUUUAGAUCUAUGUCUCUAAAGCCACUACUCAACUUCAUGUCGGCACUUUUCUGUAGAGUAUACCUCCAUAAUUCUCCAUCUAAGAUAGUACUAAAGUUUAUUGAUGAUGCUUAAUUUCUGGAUAUGCCUUACAAGCCAUCCAUGUAAGAAAUCCAAGGGGUUCAAGGCGUAUUGAAAAGGAGCUGGAGUAGGUAGGUGGUGGAUUGAGGAAGGAUCUGGAGCAGAGGUGGAAUCGAGGCUGCCCCUACGUGCGCUAAGGAGCUGCAAGGCGCCUGCGAUCCGGACACUGCUAUGUUUUCUCCUUCUCUCCAGGUGGGAGACAGAAUUUAAUGGAGAUGCAAGAUGAAAGAUGGAACAUGAUGCUUCAAAUCAGCAUAAUUAUAAGGAUUACUAAAUUUCUUAGGGAAAUCAAUGCAACGGUGAUAAAUAUAUGUAAUUGCAUUUUUUUCCGGGAAUAUGUAAUUGCAUGUAUAGCAUCUGUUUUGAACUGUAUUUUAUAUGCCAUUUAUGUAUCAUGGUGGAACACAAAAUUUAAAUAGAAAAGAAUAGCAGUGACUAAUGUAUAUCUUGCAAUUUCAGAUUUAUAUCUAUGCGACUAUGCUUACCUGUACGUACAA
This is a long non-coding RNA of Triticum aestivum (bread wheat), 2364 nucleotides long. RefSeq lists it as uncharacterized. NCBI's taxonomy places the organism in Eukaryota, Viridiplantae, Streptophyta, Magnoliopsida, Poales, Poaceae. The record is from RefSeq and is a predicted model, not a curated record. The transcript is spliced from 2 exons.